UCGUCCGUCGACCUUGAGCACUCCUUGCUCCCGCUCCUAAAAGUGGGCCUCUUAAUCAGAAUAUGUCUCCCCUCUCGCUGUAAAACAGAGACAUCUCUUUUUCCCCUGUUGGGGAGAGAGAAAACCUGUGGAUGAUGGGUCUCAGUGGCAUCUGUAACAUGUUCUUCACGAAGAGGCUGGUGUCCAAGAAACACAAGACCCCAGCAAUUUCCAGAUGUACGAGUUGGCUAUCCCAUCCAUCCUACUGGCUGUUGAUGAGAGAAUUCUACAAAUCCUUAAUGUUGACAGCUGGCUGACGUUAUUUUUGGUUUGCUGCUGGCGGCAAAUUUAAGUUUGGCGUUUUUCAUAAAUACAAGAAGGACUCAAAUAGACAUUGAGUAUUUUACUUAAAAGUAACCUUCAACCCAACGUCUUUUUUUCGGAGUUCAAAAUGUUUUUGUUGCAUGCAGAAAUGUAAUUUCGUUUUCUCUGCAGGAGUUCAUCAAUUUCAUAAAUGCAACACAUUAUAGUUUGUUUAUACAUAGCAUAAAGGCAAA
Molecule: long non-coding RNA, 536 nt
Organism: Hypanus sabinus (Atlantic stingray)
Lineage: Eukaryota; Metazoa; Chordata; Chondrichthyes; Myliobatiformes; Dasyatidae
Exons: 3
Source: RefSeq, a predicted model, not a curated record